CAAUGUGUUACUGUAAUUUUAAUUUAAAAAUGACCGAGUGACAUUUUUACAACGCACUGGUCAACUCCACCAAAGCGAAUCACAUGACUUUGCCAUAGUCGGUAAGUACCAGCGAAAAAUAUCUUAUAAAUAAGUUAAGAAUUGUUGUAUAAAAAUUAAAUACACGGGAAAUGGCAAAGUUCAGGAAGUCUGGUCUGAUUAAUCAUU
Molecule: long non-coding RNA, 207 nt
Filed under: Mytilus galloprovincialis (Mediterranean mussel)
Lineage: Eukaryota; Metazoa; Mollusca; Bivalvia; Mytilida; Mytilidae
Source: RNAcentral